UAAAAUUGAAAAUGGAAAUGGGGAAUGUGUCAAAGAGACAACAACCCGACCAAAUAAAAAACAACAGCAGAGGGUCACCAACAGGUCUUCAAUGUAGCGAGAAAUUCCCGCACCCGGAGGCGUCCUUCAGCUGGCCCCUAAACAAAUAUAUACUAGUCCAGUGAUAAUGAACGCCAUACUAAUUUCCAAAUUGUACACAAG
This 201-nucleotide long non-coding RNA is filed under the name Mytilus galloprovincialis (Mediterranean mussel). The record is from RNAcentral. Lineage: Eukaryota; Metazoa; Mollusca; Bivalvia; Mytilida; Mytilidae.